UCACACCUGUGCCGCUCACCAUGCUCUCAAACACAUGAAAAGGACUUGGGAGUUAUCCUGCCUAAUGAUUCCACCAAAUACAAGCAGCAAGUAUCUCAGAAUAAAAUAGGAGAUGGGCUGAAGACCAGAAACACAUGAGCUCUUGGAGGACACUCCAGAUCCAAACUGUAGCAAGUGGUGAUGAGGAGAAGGUCACUUGUCAGAGGUCUUCUUUCUGGGAAGCAGUCACUGUGUGUAUGAGAUGCCAUUUAACUACAAAAGCCUUUCAGAUGAUAAACAUUACCACCAUCUUUCAACUGCAGGAGCUGCACGCAGCUGGACAGAUCGCUUUGUACUGGCUCCAGUAUCUCCCCAAGAAUUCCUAAGCGAGAAAGACAAGCAAAUCAAAUCACCCACUGUGACCUGAGUACUGGCUCACGCGUGUCUGAGGAAUGCAUAGCACUGCUCCUGGAGGGGAGAUGACUGGGUGGGAAGAUCCUUGACCGGCGUCGCAUUUGUCCAUCUCUGAAAUGUGUUAUUCCUCAGACUGUAAUAGGCAUCAGCUCCUCUUGCAAUCUGCAAGGCAUCAAAAUGGAGAGAAGUAGGAAUUAUUUUUAAAAUGAAAUAAACCCUAGUAUACCUGAUUGUGAGGCUGUGGGUUAGUAAUCAAACAUACA
This is a long non-coding RNA of Chinchilla lanigera (long-tailed chinchilla), 656 nucleotides long. RefSeq lists it as uncharacterized. The transcript has 6 exons. The record is from RefSeq and is a predicted model, not a curated record. NCBI's taxonomy places the organism in Eukaryota, Metazoa, Chordata, Mammalia, Rodentia, Chinchillidae.